UACGAAGGGGGCUAGCGUUGCUCGGAAUUACUGGGCGUAAAGCGCACGUAGGCGGUCUUUUAAGUCGGGGGUGAAAUCCUGGAGCUCAACUCCAGAACUGCCUUCGAUACUGGAAGACUUGAGUCCGGGAGAGGUGAGUGGAACUGCGAGUGUAGAGGUGAAAUUCGUAGAUAUUCGCAAGAACACCAGUGGCGAAGGCGGCUCACUGGGCCGGUACUGGCGCUGAGGUGCGAAAGCGUGGGGAGCAAACAGG
Molecule: ribosomal RNA, 253 nt
Filed under: uncultured bacterium
Lineage: Bacteria
Description: partial 16S ribosomal RNA
Rfam family: Bacterial small subunit ribosomal RNA
Source: RNAcentral